UUAGUUGAAGCUAAAGUCGGCAGCACUUCACUGUUAAUGGAGUUUAGAAUAGUUUAUUCCAACUAAG
Molecule: transfer RNA, 67 nt
Filed under: Daphnia carinata
Lineage: Eukaryota; Metazoa; Arthropoda; Branchiopoda; Diplostraca; Daphniidae
Description: tRNA-Asn
Source: RNAcentral